Molecule: long non-coding RNA, 338 nt
Organism: Vicia villosa (hairy vetch)
Lineage: Eukaryota; Viridiplantae; Streptophyta; Magnoliopsida; Fabales; Fabaceae
Exons: 3
Source: RefSeq, a predicted model, not a curated record
GCUCUUCAUUCCCGGAUCCGCAAUCGUUCAUAUUCUCUCCCAAUUUUCAAAAUCCAAAAUCUCCGAUUUCGAUUUCCAACUUCUGCAUAUCCACAGAUGUAUUGCAAUCGAUUCAGUUUUUAAAUCAAAAGACAAUUCAUUUGAGAUAUGUUUUCUGCAAAUACUUAUAUUUGCAUAAUGCUGUUACAAUUCGUUUCAGUUCCUACAACUGUCACAUAAUCCUAUUGGGUUUUCAAUUGAAAAGGUAAUUUUUUUGUUAUGAGAAAUUAAAAUGAUCAAGGUUUGAGGAGCUAAAAUUUCUAAAUUUUUUAAACUUUAAUGCUAUUAUACUCUCUAAA